AUUGAACGCUGGCGGCAGGCCUAACACAUGCAAGUCGAGCGGAUGAAGGGAGCUUGCUCCUGGAUUCAGCGGCGGACGGGUGAGUAAUGCCUAGGAAUCUGCCUGGUAGUGGGGGAUAACGUCCGGAAACGGGCGCUAAUACCGCAUACGUCCUGAGGGAGAAAGUGGGGGAUCUUCGGACCCCACGCUAUCAGAUGAGCCUAGGUCGGAUUAGCUAGUUGGUGGGGUAAAGGCCUACCAAGGCGACGAUCCGUAACUGGUCUGAGAGGAUGAUCAGUCACACUGGAACUGAGACACGGUCCAGACUCCUACGGGAGGCAGCAGUGGGGAAUAUUGGACGAUGGGCGAAAGCCUGAUCCAGCCAUGCCGCGUGUGUGAAGAAGGUCUUCGGAUUGUAAAGCACUUUAAGUUGGGAGGAAGGGCAGUAAGUUAAUACCUUGCUGUUUUGACGUUACCAACAGAAUAAGCACCGGCUAACUUCGUG
This 484-nucleotide ribosomal RNA is filed under the name uncultured bacterium. Its description in RNAcentral is "partial 16S ribosomal RNA". It matches the Rfam family "Bacterial small subunit ribosomal RNA", at positions 30 to 507 of the family's 1533-position model. The record is from RNAcentral.